GACCUACCACACGGUGUGAGGAGGACACAUGUGGGUGCAGUGUGAUAGUAGAAUAUGCUGCAUAAUGUGUGGCCUCCCCACACUGUGUUGUGUC
Non-coding RNA from Ornithorhynchus anatinus (platypus), 94 nucleotides. RefSeq annotates it as microRNA mir-1421ah. The transcript has a single exon. The record is from RefSeq and is marked provisional. NCBI's taxonomy places the organism in Eukaryota, Metazoa, Chordata, Mammalia, Monotremata, Ornithorhynchidae.